CCCUUAGAUGUUCUGGGCCGCACGCGUGCUACACUGAGUGGAUCAGCGGGUCAGGUUGCGCGAAAGCGUUUCCUAAUCUUUAAAUCCGCUCGUGAUGGGGAUUGACGGUUGCAAUUUUCUGUCAUGAACGAGGAAUACCUUGUAAGCGCGGGUCAUCAUCCCGCGCUGAAUACGUCCCUGCCCUUUGUACACACCGCCCGUCGCACCUACCGAUUGAAUGGUCCGGUGAAAUCUUGGGAUUUUGUUUUGUUUGCAUUUAUUUGUAUCGAGACGAGAGAACUUGAGUAAACCUUACCAUUUAGAGGAAGGUGAAGUUGUAACA
Molecule: ribosomal RNA, 322 nt
Filed under: uncultured eukaryote
Lineage: Eukaryota
Description: partial 18S ribosomal RNA
Rfam family: Eukaryotic small subunit ribosomal RNA
Source: RNAcentral